GGUCUGCCAGCCUUAGGCUUUUCACUGGCAAGUGACCAUGAUGACCACAAGCACCAUGCCCCACCCCGAGGCAGGUUCUCCUGCACAUUUUUCCCUUAGGCUGGAAAUCCAGCUCGCUUAUAUAACAAGCUUCAUUGCAACACUCUCCUUCAAGCCAGAGGGACUCUGGACUAUUCCCAUUUCUCUGGCUCCACAGCAGGCACUCCCAGCUUCCUGUGAAUUUGGUGAGCCAUCUGACCGUGUCUGCCAAGCCUCUCCUUUCUGGGGCCUCGCUUACCUGAGAUCUGCCUUCCCAUGGGAAAUGCAAUGUGAAGUAAAAGCAACAGACAGCCUGAGGAGCCCAGGCACCACGACGCUCAAUGCGAUUACCGUGCGGUCAUAUUUUGUUGGGGGAGGGAGGUGGUCUGGCAGCUUCAGAAUCAUGGAAGACAAAAAUCCUCACACUGUCAAUAUUACCGUAGAUGUUCCUUAAAAUACAGGAAGUCCUUUAUAGCUCUUUCUUUUUUUUUUUUUUUUUUUGAGGAAGAUUAGCCCUGAGCUAACCACUGCCAAUCCUCAUUUUUUGCUGAGGAAGACUGGCCCUGAGCUAACAUCCAUGCCCAUCUUCCUCUGCUUUACACGUGGGAUGCCUACCACAGCAUGGCUUUCGCCAAGCAGUGCUAUGUCCGCACCUGGGAUCCCAACCGGCGAACCCUGGGUCGCCGAGAAGUGGAACGUGCGAACUUAACCACUGCACCACCGGGCUGGCCUCUAUAGCUCUUUCAUGACCAGUGUUCACAGUCCUAGGUACAAAGUUCUAUACUGUACUUCUUAACAUACCUCAAAGUCAAGAACCACUGAGCUAGACCGAAAGAAAAGGAAUAGGCAAGUUUAUAUACAUGUCUGAUGCUUCUAAAUAUCCCUCCUUAAAGAUAAAGGAAGGAGGAAGUUUUGAAAAUGUUUCUACUAGUUUGUAAGGUUUAGUCCCAUUCUGUGUGCAUAUUACACCUUUAAAAUAUAAUGUUAAUACAGGUCAAUGGAUUUAUUUGUUGUGGAGGAAAUUAAAUGAGAUGAUGUCUCCUUUGGGGAUGUGUUGAGAGAGGUUGGGCUCUGUUAAAGAAUAAUUUUUUUUAAAAAGUGAAAAAGGUAAAAUCAUGACUCAUACAGACAUAAAAUGAUCACGUCAAAGAUACUUAACUCAUUAAUUAACAAGGGAACCAGUCAGUAUUACAAAAGAGAGUUCAAAAGAAAAUGCAAAGUUCCACACAUUUAUAGUCCGGUAAGGAAUUCUGAAGAGAAUUGACAAAGGGAUGCGACAAUGGCAAAACUGUUCAGUAUCCACAGGGUGAUAAUCAGCUGCAUUCCACUGGACACAAUUUGCAUUGCUAUGGACAGGGAUUGCUACAAUUAGCUUCCUACAGCAAACAUCUUUCUCUACAGAGUUGUAAGAUAGUCUCGUCAAAGAUAAAGGCAGACAGUUGAGCUACCCACUAAAUUUCAAAGGCUUUUGCAAUUUUUCCCUACGUUUCUAAAGUCUGGGCGCGCUUUACAUGCAGGGCAUAAGACCCCUCAGUAUUCACAAGGGUCUCUCUCUCCCUCUAGCCUCAGGAUGCUGCGGGGUCCCUCCAGGGUCUAGAGACCAGAACUCCCAGAAGCCUGCAGAGCCGAUUUCUCCCAUUUCCCUGUGCUGGACUGUCACAGCACUGGGGACCAACUUCUUACCACCCAAUGGUUUGCCUGUAAGAAACCUUACAUGUCCGUUUAUUAAGUGGCAAAAACAGUGCUAAAAGGCGGCUGAAACAAUUCCCUUGUCAGUACGAUUUGUCAGGCCCAUUCCUCCUGUUUCUUCACCCGCCUGGUUCACGGCCUUUUUCUGAUUAUACAGCAUUUGCUUUUAGAUCCUGCGAGGCGGGUCUUCACCCACAUGGACCUGGCGUCCCUGGGUCAGGCCGGCAGGCUGGGAGAACACGAUUAGCUGUCACCCAGGCUGCAGUCUCUGUAGUCUCCUCCACUGGUGCUGCCCUUCUCAGUCCAGCUCAGCCUGGCUGACCCCCUCUGGACCCACACUAGGCUAGUACCACUAUUCUGUUCCUGCCAUUUCUCACAUUCAGAUGUUUCCCCUCCGUGAAUCCUAUUGAAGUGGUGGGUGGGAUCGCUCCCAGCUGGGCUAAAAUUGUAAUCAGCAGUUCAAAACAAAGAGAAGUAUACUACAGACCAAAAUGAGUUUUUAUCCACGUUAAAAGCCAGCUUUUCCCUGAGCUAAAAAGUUGGGGUCUGGAUGGCAACAAGAAGGAGAGAGAAGGAGCAUGGGGCUGAGCACAGAGCAUAGUGAAGACCUUGUUCCCACCCUCGAGAAGCUUGCUGUCUAGGUGGGAAGGUGGAGAGUUCUGCAUUAGCCAGGAUUCUCCAGAAAAACAGAACCAACAGAAUGUGCAUAGAGAGAGAGAAAGAGAUUUAUUUUAAGGAAUUGGCUCAAGUAAAUAUGGAGGCUUGACAAGUGCAAAAUCUGCAGGAUGGGUGGGCAGGCUGAGACCUAAGCAUGAGCUGAUGUUGCAGUUCAAGUCCAAAGGCCAUCCUCUGAAGCAUUCACCUCCUCAGGGUGGGUCAGCCUUCUGUUCUAUGCAGGCCUUUCAUCUGUUUGGAUGAGGCCCACCCACAUGAUGAAGGGCAAUCUGCUUUACUCAAUGUCCACUGAUUUAAAUGUAAAAUUCAUCCAAAAACAUCCUCACAGAAACAUCUAGAAUGAUGUUUGACCAAAUAUGUAAGCGCCUUGGCCAAGCCAAGUUGACACAGGAAAUUAACCAUCACACAUUCCUAGCACCAUAGUCUGGGUCUUAGGAGCCAGUUGGUCGGUAGUGCAGGUGCUGAAGACUCCGCUGAAGAAUAAGACUGAUGCUGGGAGAAGGGAAUGGGAAAUAGGCUUCAGAGUGGCCAAGGAGAAGGAGGUUAGGGAAAACCAGGCCCAGGCUUAUUGCUCACCUGCCCAGCUGUUCUAACUACCCUCUCGUGUUUCCUAGAGAUGUCUUGCUAUCUGUCCUACCUUUAGGCUUAUUAAGGAAUUUCUCCUGAGCUCCUAGAAUGAGCUGAGGCAGAUCACUGUGGCCUUGCUCAGACAGACUACCCUUGUGGGGAUCCCAGGAACAGCCCAGGGAAUCUGGACUUCCUUCUCUUAAUUCCCAGGGUGCCCUGUGACAACUCUUCACAGGCUUAAAACUUACCUGUGUUUGCAAGGGAGAAUGCUGGGACCGGGCAGCGCCUACUGCGCAACAACAGUGAGGCGGCCAGCAGGACCUGAGGCUGUUUCAGGCACUGAAUAUAAAGGGAGAAGUCCAGCCCCCUUGGAACCGGUUUCUCUUUAUCUCUGUCUUGGGCUUUGAGCCCUGGGUGGUAGGUUGAAUGGUAACCCCAAAAGAUCUGCCCACACUCUAGUCCCUGGAACCUGUGAAUAUGACCUUAUGUGGAAAAGAGGUCUUUUCGGGUAUAAUUAAAUUUAGAAUCUUGAGAUGAGAUCAUCCUACUUAUCUUACUUAGGGUGGGCCCUAACUACAAUAACAAGUCUCCUUGUAAGAGAAAGGCAGAGGGACACUCGAGACAGAGAAGGCCAUGUGAAGACAGAGGGAGAGGCUGGAGUUCUGCACUCACAAGCCAGGGACUGCCUGGAGCCAUCAGAAGCCAGAAGAGGCAAGGAAGGCUUCUCCCGUAGAGACUCUGGAUACCUACUGCAAACUUCUCGUGUCCAGCUAGAACCAGGAGAGAAUUAAUUUCUGUUUUAAGCCACCAAGUUUGUGGUAAUUCGUUACAGCACCUCCAGGAAAUUCACACUCCCUAUUAGUGGCCUUUAGAAGUUGUCUGAGGCACUAUGGAUCCAAACAACAAAAUAAACACUCUCACACUGCCUGAGGUGAGGCAAAUGCAGCAUCCUGGCUACAGAGGAGCUGUAAUGAUAUACUCUUGUAUGUUAGUUCAUCCCCCUCAGCAGGUAUUUAUUGAGUGCCAACCACACAGCAGGCAUUGUGUUAGGUGCUGAUUAUACAAGGAUGGUCAAAACAUCCUGGGGAGGAUGCAGCAUCAGAGUCAUUUGUCACCAGUGUCCCUUGGUCCAGAGCAUUCCUUAUCAAUGAAUGAACCAUCCCAUGGUGAACUGUGCUGUGCGCAGAGCUCCACGCUGGAACCAAUUCUGACUCAGGACCAUUCCUUCCUAACCCUGUUGGGCCAGGCCUGUCCUUCUGCUCCAGUUUGCUGCUGCUUUGAUCCAGGCUGCAACCCCUCUCCUGGCUUCCUGCCAGCAUCCCUCAUCUGGUCCCCAGAACCUUCUUUCAGCCAAACACCUUUCUUCCCUGGCCCGUAGCGGUAAAUCCCCGGUGGGAGUUGGGAUUAAGAAUCCCAGCAUGGAGUCACACUGCCUGAGUUUGAUCCCUGACCUCACCAUGUACUAGCCAAGUAAACUUGGGAAAGUAUUUACUAUCUGCUAGCCUCAACUUCCUCAUCUACACAAUGGGGAUAAAAGUGUCUGCUUCAUAGGGCUGCUGAAUGUAUUAAACAGGACAGUGUCUAGUUCUCAGUCAAUGCUUAAUAAAUAGCAGCUAUUAUUAUUUUUGCAGAACUGGUCCUCUUUCCUAGGUGUCUUCUGUCUCUCAUCAGGAGGCCUGGGGCCCCUUCUGGUCUAGCCUGGGAAGUUCUGUUUUUCCCAUACAGGCAGGAAGGCAUCUUUCAGAACGUGAGAGGACAACUGGCCUUGAGACAAUCGAAAAGAAUAGCAAUGAAGAGAACAACCUGGCAGAGAGUACACCGCAGAGAAAGGAAAUGGGGCUUCAGCUGCCUCAACAGUGUGCCUGCCUGGAUUCUCAAAGACGGAAAAGCAGCAGCAGCAAGGAGGGACGUCAGAGUCCAUGACUGCACCACUCUCCCUCACACUCAGAACCGCUCUAUUACACAACUCUGGGGGACCAUUAGAACUGGACUGGGGUGGUGUGGCAGCCCCUUCAUGGUGGCCUGCUCCUCCAACGUGUUGAAGAAGAAUGACAACUAGGAUUUUCAGAUGCUCCCAGUUGUCCCUGACCUGAGUCCUGAGCUUUAAAUUCAUUAAAAUGGGCGCUUUGUUCUCAAACAAGUACUUGUAUGUAGAUGUUCAUAGCACCACUAUUCACAAUAGUCAAACGUCCAUCAACAGAUGAUUGGAUAAAUAAAUUGUGGAAUAUAUGAAAUGGAAUAUUAUUCAGCCACAAAAAGAAAUGAAGUACUGAUACAUUCUACAACUUAGAUGAACCUCAAAAACAUAUGCUAAAUGAAAGAAGCCAGAUGCCGAAGGUCACAUUUUGUGUGAUUCCAUUUGUAUGAAAUAUCCAAAAUAGGUAUUUUCAUAGAGAUAAAAAGCAGAUUGGUGGUUGCCAGGGGUGAGGAGAGAGGAGAAUGAGGAGUAACUGCUUAACGGGUAAAGGCUUUCCUUUUGGGGUAACGAAAAUGUACUAAAUGCCAUUGAAUUGUUCACUUUAAAAUGAUUUUUCGUUAUGUGAAUUUCACCAUAAUUGUUUUAAAAAAUGACACUUAACCAUUGAUGAAAACCAUCAAUUCUACUUCCUCUUCCCCAAGUCUGGUUCUAAGAUCUUUGCUUAAUGCUGUACCAGGGAAGCAAAAGAUGCUGCAGGUUUGGAGCCAAGGCGACAACUCACGCUUCAGUGGCAAUUAUUUUGAAAAGAACCAACCAAAAAGCCAGGUCAGGUCAUCCACAAAAGACAUAUUUAAUUUCAAAGGCAAUUUGUCCUAAGUUAUAGAAUUUUUCUUGCAUUCAAUUAAAGUUUCCAUUCCAGAAAUAUUAGUGUUUUUAAUACCUCCCCCACACCAACUGUAAGAUCUCACAGCAGUUUUCUGGAUUUGCAGUGAAUCCCAUCUUCCUUCAGAACACGAUUGGCCAAAAUCUUGAGUGUCCCUGCCUGACAUAUGGAGAGAAAAUUGCUCCUCCCACUGCUGGACCUGUUCUCUAAAAGGUCUUCCCAAAAGAUACUUCUAGUAGCAAUUAUGCAAAUGUGUGGUAAAAGUAAGGUUACUUUUGAAGGAACUAUUUCUACUUCAGAUGGGACAAAUGCCAGAAUCUCCAAUCAGUGCUAUGGAUGCCUGAGAGCAAAUGACUCAACUAUGCCUCUCAGUUGGAAUCCUCCCUCUCAUUUAUCACAAAGUGUAGGAUGGGGCUGGGAUGGCAAUUUGUCAAUCUACACAGUCCAAAAUGGCUCAAGACCACAUUCACACUCCAGCCUGCAGGAAAGGGAAAAGAGGAACAAUGGAGAACAAACCCAUUUCCUUUUAGGGACAUGACCUGGAAAUUUCACACAUCACUUCUGCUGCUACCCUGUUAGCCAGAAUCUGGUUGUACUGUCACAUCUAGCUGCAAGGGAGGCUGGCCACAUGCCCAGCUUAAACUUCUAUUACUAUGGAAAAGGGGGAGAAUGGAUAUUGGGAACUGCAACUAGGACUCAGCCCCACAAGCCAACCUAACGUUCCUUUCUCAUCAAUGACCCCAGUCUCUUUGCUGUCAUCCAAAAUGGCAAGUUCAGGCCCCACCUCUGAGACUUUAGUCAUGCCCUUCCCCAGUAUGGAAUGUUCUAUCUGCUUCUCCACACUUGUCUUGCCUUCAUCGUCCCCUCAGGUCUCAUCUCCUCCCCAAAACCUUCCCUGACAACCCCAGCCCACAGUGCCUUCCCAAAGCAUUCCUCGACCUUUAUCUUUGCACUAUUCACAUGCUGUUCCAUGAAGCUAAGUCUUAAUUUCAGAAUUAGACAACAGAUUUCUUGAGAACAGGGUCCCUGUUGUACAUUUUUCUUGUCUCUUCUAUGGUCUCUAGCUCAGUGCUGAGCACAUAUGUGUGUUUGACAAUUAUGCUCUGAAAUGAAUUGAAUUUGAUUAGAAUGAUCUGCUGAAUAAUUUAGGACAAUAUUCUUAUUUUCCUUUAAUUAUGGUAUUUUUCACCUGAGUGGUCUGUAUAAUUUAUCUAUUUUAUAUAUAUAAUAAGGAUUUUAAUCUUUAUAAAUAUACAAAUUAAUCUUUAUACACACAUUCACAAUCCAAGAAACAGGUUGUAUUCUUAUUUAGUUUUCUCAUUCAAUUGUUUACCAGGCAACUUUGCAUCACCAUUACCUGCACUGUUUCAAAAAUUAAAUAGGAUAAGCAUAGCUGAAGCAUUUAGCGCAGGACCUGGCACAUAGCUUGUGCUAAAUAAAUGCUGAGAGAAAAAAAGUCAAGGACAAAGUAUAAAUGUAAACUGAGUUAAAGGGUUUAAAACAUACUGCAAGAGCACGAAUUCUGGUAUUAGAUCCCUGUUUGAACUUUGGUUCUUCUAUUUAGUCACAGUUUGGUAGAGGACUCAAUGAAUUGACUGAUAUGGGCUUGUCAUUUUCUAUUAUCUCUCUGUUCCAUGCACACACUUCUAUACUUUUAUUUGUAAUGCUGUGGGCUUGGAGUCUGACAAUUAUAUUUCCCAGAUUCCCUUGCUAGCUGAUUUCCAGUCAGGGUCUGCAAUCAGGAGGCACAACUGGGGGACUGGGAGGCAGGAGUAGAGAGGGACUCUCUUCCUCCUUCCACAUUCUUUUGGACAGUUACAACUCUGGCAUCUUUUGACACUGCUGCCACCAGUGUCAAGCCACUUUCUCAGAGGUUCCCUCACCAGCCACACAGUGCCCCCUUGGCAGUCCAGUACCAGGUACACGAUGGCCCUGCAGCAGCCCAGCUCCUAAGGUGGUGGCCCUUCCUCUGCCUUCCUAGGUUCUGGUUCCACGUCUUUCCUUUUGUCCCCUGCAGCCUUCAGGUUGCUUUCUGUAUUUACUCACUGUCUCCUUUUGGAUGUUCCAACUCCUGUGAAAUCCACUCAUUAUAUUAAAUACCCUCUGGUUGAAAUACCUAGCAUAAUUUCUGUUUUUCUGACUUCAUUUUGACUGAUACAGUAUGCAAUGUGCUUAACGCAUUUCCUCUUCUCAACAAAUGUCAGUUCUCCCCUAGGUGAUUCCACUCUGUUGUGUUGAAAGAUAAUGUGUUAUGGAAGCAAAGAUAUAUUAAUUAACUUAACUUUACAAUAUUAUAUUUACAGUAGUUGUUCUCAAUUCUGUCUCCAUGUAUGAAGACCCCCAGCUGUCCAGGGUAUCUUCCCUGCCUAUCGUGGCCUAAGGCAAUGAAAUCGUCUGAAAAAGAUAUGGAUUUUGGAAAAACAUUGAUGCUGCAAAUCUGUGCCUCAACUGCUUACUCUCCC
This 8212-nucleotide long non-coding RNA is filed under the name Equus caballus (horse). RNAcentral's name for it is "lncRNA (ENSECAG00000040402.3)". The record is from RNAcentral. Lineage: Eukaryota; Metazoa; Chordata; Mammalia; Perissodactyla; Equidae.